GACGAACGCUGGCGGCGUGCUUAACACAUGCAAGUCGAACGGAAAGGCCCUGCUUUUGUGGGGUGCUCGAGUGGCGAACGGGUGAGUAACACGUGAGUAACCUGCCCUUGACUUUGGGAUAACUUCAGGAAACUGGGGCUAAUACCGGAUAGGAGCUCCUGCUGCAUGGUGGGGGUUGGAAAGUUUCGGCGGUUGGGGCUGGACUCGCGGCUUAUCAGCUUGUUGGUGGGGUAGUGGCUUACCAAGGCUUUGACGGGUAGCCGGCCUGAGAGGGUGACCGGCCACAUUGGGACUGAGAUACGGCCCAGACUCCUACGGGAGGCAGCAGUGGGGAAUAUUGCACAAUGGGCGGAAGCCUGAUGCAGCAACGCCGCGUGCGGGAUGACGGCCUUCGGGUUGUAAACCGCUUUCGCCGGUGACGAAGCGUGAGUGACGGUAAUGGGUAAAGAAGCACCGGCUAACUACGUG
Molecule: ribosomal RNA, 468 nt
Filed under: uncultured bacterium
Lineage: Bacteria
Description: partial 16S ribosomal RNA
Rfam family: Bacterial small subunit ribosomal RNA
Source: RNAcentral